RNAcentral lists this ribosomal RNA (484 nucleotides) under uncultured bacterium. RNAcentral's name for it is "partial 16S ribosomal RNA". It matches the Rfam family "Bacterial small subunit ribosomal RNA", at positions 30 to 507 of the family's 1533-position model. The record is from RNAcentral.
AUUGAACGCUGGCGGCAGGCCUAACACAUGCAAGUCGAGCGGAUGAAGGGAGCUUGCUCCUGGAUUCAGCGGCGGACGGGUGAGUAAUGCCUAGGAAUCUGCCUGGUAGUGGGGGAUAACGUCCGGAAACGGGCGCUAAUACCGCAUACGUCCUGAGGGAGAAAGUGGGGGAUCUUCGGACCUCACGCUAUCAGAUGAGCCUAGGUCGGAUUAGCUAGUUGGUGGGGUAAAGGCCUACCAAGGCGACGAUCCGUAACUGGUCUGAGAGGAUGAUCAGUCACACUGGAACUGAGACACGGUCCAGACUCCUACGGGAGGCAGCAGUGGGGAAUAUUGGGCAAAGGGCGAAAGCCUGAUCCAGCCAUGCCGCGUGUGUGAAGAAGGUCUUCGGAUUGUAAAGCACUUUAAGUUGGGAGGAAGGGCAGUAAGUUAAUACCUUGCUGUUUUGACGUUACCAACAGAAUAAGCACCGGCUAACUUCGUG